RNAcentral lists this ribosomal RNA (492 nucleotides) under uncultured bacterium. RNAcentral describes it as "partial 16S ribosomal RNA". It matches the Rfam family "Bacterial small subunit ribosomal RNA", at positions 29 to 507 of the family's 1533-position model. The record is from RNAcentral.
AGUGAACGCUGGCGGUAGGCCUAACACAUGCGAGUCGAACGGCAGCACAGUAAGAGCUUGCUCUUACGGGUGGCGAGUGGCGGACGGGUGAGGAAUACAUCGGAAUCUACUUUUUCGUGGGGGAUAACGUAGGGAAACUUACGCUAAUACCGCAUACGACCUACGGGUGAAAGCAGGGGAUCUUCGGACCUUUCGCGAUUGAAUGAGCCGAUGUCGGAUUAGCUAGUUGGCGGGGUAAAGGCCCACCAAGGCGACGAUCCGUAGCUGGUCUGAGAGGAUGAUCAGCCACACUGGAACUGAGACACGGUCCAGACUCCUACGGGAGGCAGCAGUGGGGAAUAUUGGACAAUGGGCGCAAGCCUGAUCCAGCCAUACCGCGUGGGUGAAGAAGGCCUUCGGGUUGUAAAGCCCUUUUGUUGGGAAAGAAAAGCAGCAGGUUAAUACCCCGCUGUUCUGACGGUACCCAAAGAAUAAGCACCGGCUAACUUCGUG